Cajanus cajan (pigeon pea) is the source of this 1811-nucleotide RNA transcript. It is a transcript of the gene named adenylyl-sulfate kinase 3, with no coding region annotated. The record is from RefSeq and is a predicted model, not a curated record. Lineage: Eukaryota; Viridiplantae; Streptophyta; Magnoliopsida; Fabales; Fabaceae.
AAAGAUUAUGUAUUAAGAAGAGUCCUAAAGCGGUAGAUUGUAGAGUUGAAGGUGAUUUAGUGACAAAUCUAUCGUGAUUACGGAUGUGGCAGCACGCAAUAUCCCACGCACGAUUCGAAGAUCUAAAUAAGCUUCAUUUCUCAUUAGUGAUUCUCUAAUUCGCCAUUGUCAUUUUCCACCUUAACGUGCUCACACAGGACACGCAGUUCAGCUCCCGCCACCACCACACGAAUUCUGAACUCCGCCUAGCUUAAUCAGUCGUAAUUCACAUACGCCAACGCUUAACACAAUCUGGUUUUUGCCAACUAAUUUCGUUUCUGUUAGUAGAGAUGAACGCUGUACAAGCACUGUGUUCACUGUAUGGUAAUGGAGUGUUCCAGAACAUCGAAUACAGACCUUCGGCGACGCAUGAGUUAGGGUUCUCCAAGUUCUGCGAAAUCAACGUCGCUGGAUUAAGCCGUAGUCGUAAAAACUUGUUGAAGCCGAUUAUGGCCAAGGAAGAUCUUGGCGCGUCGCUGAUCGAUGAAGGAAGUCCUGAAUGCCAGGGACAUCAAGUGAAGAAGCUGAAUGGAUUCACGCCUUUGACUAAUCACUCUACUGCAUUAUCCGGUAAAAAUCUCAGCGACGUGUCAAAUACUGGGAAUUCAGUGAACAUUUUUUGGCACGAAUGUUCAGUCCAGAAACUUAAUAGACAACAACUACUUCAACAAAAAGGCUGCGUCAUUUGGUUAACGGGUCUCAGUGGUUCAGGAAAAAGCACUCUGGCGUGUGCUUUGAGUAGAAGUCUGCACUCCAAAGGAAAGUUGACUUACAUCCUUGAUGGUGACAAUAUUCGACACGGUCUAAACCGUGAUCUUAGUUUUAGAGCAGAAGAUCGUUCAGAGAACAUACGAAGGAUUGGUGAGGUAGCAAAACUCUUGGCAGAUGCAGGUGUUAUUUGCAUCACUAGUUUAAUAUCACCGUACAGAAAGGAUAGGGAUGCUUGCCGAGCUCUAUUGCCAAAGGGAGAUUUUAUUGAGGUUUUCAUAGAUGUGCCACUAGAUGUGUGUGAAGCAAGGGACCCAAAGGGACUCUACAAGCUUGCUCGGGCUGGAAAGAUCAAAGGUUUCACAGGAAUAGAUGAUCCAUAUGAACCACCGUAUAAUUGUGAGAUAGUAUUAAAACAAAAAGGAAGUGAGUGUAUGUCUCCGAGUGAUACAGCAGAAAUAGUAACAUCGUAUUUAGAGAAAAAUGGUUAUCUCCGGGUCUGAGAUUUUCUGGAUGGGGUUUGUCUUUCUUGGUUGUUAUGGCUAUAAUGUGUGAUGUUUAUAACCCAUGCGGGUUGUGAAGUUUAGGAGAAAGCUAGGAAAGAAGGAAGGAAGUUAAGCACAAAGUGGUGAAUUCGAAGUUGAAAAUUUUUUUGGUUAAGUCCCUAGGCUAAGCCUCAGAUCCAAGCUUAGCCUCAGCUCGGCAAAAAAUCCCUGGAACAUAAUUUUAUUCCCCACGCUGAGCGUGAAAUUGGGGCUGAGCAUGAGAGUCCCAUAACCUCAUUUCACUCCAGACCUUCCCUCAAGCUUAGCGUGGCAUCUCACGCUUAGCGUGGAUUAUGCUGACAUGUCAUUAUUCACACAAGACAAAAGUUUUUAUGACCUAAAAGUGGGAUUUUCAAGGAGGGAAGCAAGGAGGAUCAUUCUUGGAGUUUGUGUGGCAGCUGGAGAGCUCUGGAACCUUCAAGAUCAAGCUUCUUCCUUUCUUCAUCAUUUGUAGAGUUCUACAUGUCUAUGUGUAGCUAAACUCACCCUUGUUGGGGUUUGAUGUAACUAAACUCAUUC